RNAcentral lists this ribosomal RNA (492 nucleotides) under uncultured bacterium. RNAcentral describes it as "partial 16S ribosomal RNA". It matches the Rfam family "Bacterial small subunit ribosomal RNA", at positions 29 to 507 of the family's 1533-position model. The record is from RNAcentral.
AGUGAACGCUGGCGGUAGGCCUAACACAUGCAAGUCGAACGGCAGCACAGUAAGAGCUUGCUCUUACGGGUGGCGAGUGGCGGACGGGUGAGGAAUACAUCGGAAUCUACUUUUUCGUGGGGGAUAACGUAGGGAAACUUACGCUAAUACCGCAUACGACCUACGGGUGAAAGCAGGGGAUCUUCGGACCUUGCGCGAUUGAAUGAGCCGAUGUCGGAUUAGCUAGUUGGCGGGGUAAAGGCCCACCAAGGCGACGAUCCGUAGCUGGUCUGAGAGGAUGAUCAGCCACACUGGAACUGAGACACGGUCCAGACUCCUACGGGAGGCAGCAGUGGGGAAUAUUGGACAAUGGGCGCAAGCCUGAUCCAGUCAUACCGCGUGGGUGAAGAAGGCCUUCGGGUUGUAAAGCCCUUUUGUUGGGAAAGAAAAGCAGCAGGUUAAUACCCCGCUGUCCUGACGGUACCCAAAGAAUAAGCACCGGCUAACUUCGUG